AGAAUCUGCCUUAGGAGGGGGACAACAGUUGGAAACGACUGCUAAUACCCCAUAUGCCGAGAGGUGAAACAUUUUAUGGCCUGAGGAGGAGCUCGCGUCUGAUUAGCUAGUUGGUGGGGUAACGGCCUACCAAGGCGACGAUCAGUAGCUGGUCUGAGAGGAUGAUCAGCCACACUGGGACUGAGACACGGCCCAGACUCCUACGGGAGGCAGCAGUGGGGAAUUUUCCGCAAUGGGCGAAAGCCUGACGGAGCAAGACCGCGUGAGGGAGGAAGGUCUGUGGAUUGUAAACCUCUUUUCUCAGGGAAGAAGAACUGACGGUACCUGAGGAAUCAGCAUCGGCUAACUCCGUGCCAGCAGCCGCGGUAAUACGGAGGAUGCAAGCGUUAUCCGGAAUUAUUGGGCGUAAAGCGUCCGUAGGUGGCUAAGCAAGUCUGCUGUUAAAGAGCGGAGCUAAACUCCGUAAAGGCGGUGGAAACUGCAUAGCUAGAGUGUGGUAGGGGUAGAGGGAAUUCCCAGUGUAGCGGUGAAAUGCGUAGAUAUUGGGAAGAACACCGGUGGCGAAGGCGCUCUACUGGGCCACAACUGACACUGAUGGACGAAAGCUAGGGGAGCGAAUG
RNAcentral lists this ribosomal RNA (620 nucleotides) under cyanobacterium GSP208-4. RNAcentral describes it as "bacterial SSU rRNA". It matches the Rfam family "Bacterial small subunit ribosomal RNA", at positions 120 to 774 of the family's 1533-position model. Lineage: Bacteria; Bacillati; Cyanobacteriota. The record is from RNAcentral.